CCUACGUGUGGCAGCAGUGGGGAAUAUUGCGCAAUGGGCGAAAGCCUGACGCAGCGACGCCGCGUGAGGGAUGAAGGUCUUCGGAUCGUAAACCUCUGUCAGCAGGGAAGAACGGUCACUGUGCUAAUCAGCAGUGAAUUGACGGUACCUGCAAAGGAAGCACCGGCUAACUCCGUGCCAGCAGCCGCGGUAAUACGGAGGGGGCGAGCGUUAAUCGGAAUUACUGGGCGUAAAGCGCUCGUAGGCGGUAUGUCAAGUUUGGAGUGAAAUGCCGCAGAUUAACUGCGGAACUGCUUUGGAAACUGGCGAACUAGAGUGCGGGAGGGGUAAGCGGAAUUCCUAGUGUAGCGGUGAAAUGCGUAGAUAUUAGGAGGAACACCGGUGGCGAAGGCGGCUUACUGGACCGUAACUGACGUUGAGGCUCGAAAGCGUGGGGAGCAAACAGGAUUAGAUACCCGAGUAGUC
Molecule: ribosomal RNA, 465 nt
Filed under: uncultured bacterium
Lineage: Bacteria
Description: partial 16S ribosomal RNA
Rfam family: Bacterial small subunit ribosomal RNA
Source: RNAcentral